UUGAGUUGGCAUGCUUCCCCACGCUGGCUGGUGGGGGCUUGUUUCCCCACGCCGACUGGCGGGUAACCUCUGCUCGAAAUGUUUUCCUACAUUUGGUGCCCGAACAGGGACCCGACCAGGUGCGUGGUUUGGACGGCGAGAGCAGCUUUUUGCGCCGCCUGCUUAGCAGGGUUUCGCCGUGUUCCAGGGGCUGCAGUGCCUGGCCAGCGUAGCUCCAUCUGUCUUCACCGGUGAUUUGAUUGUGUUGCGACGAUGGAGAGGGAGCUAUUUCACUCAGGAGGAUUGGACUAUGGAUACAUGCUGUAACCAAAACCACCUGCAAUGAAAGGAAGAACAUUCUUGUAAUCUCAGAAGAUGGAUUCUGUUCUGCAGUUUGUGUCCGUGUGUUGGAAUUAUAUGUUACAUACUGCUUUUCCAUUGUGCCUGAUGCUCCUUGAGGAGGCGAAGUGGAGAGGUCACUUCUCCCUGGGAAUGGAUGACAGAACAGCUGUAGUAACCACCAUCAAGCUGCGUAUAGCAAGCUGAGGUUUUGACACUUCACGGAGACAGAUAGCAGAACAUAAAAAAAGAGGCUACUGAGAGGUUGAAAAGAGGACACAGAUGACAUCUAAUGCCUAAUGUGUCAAGGUUGCCAAGUAACAGGCUAGAGAUGUGUCAGUGAAAGCUGUUUCCAUGAGAGGAAUUCAGUUGGAUAUAGUUUUGAAUCACUUCUGUCUCUCUUGUCUUGCUCUCUUUUUUUUUAUAAAAAAUCUUUUGUGUUUAUAUCUAUGAAAAACAAUGUAGUAAAGCAAAGAAUAUAGUACAUGCUUACGCUGAAAGUAUGAAAAGGGACACCUGUGCUAAUUGUUUACGUCCCCCCUAAGCCUUGAAAAUGACGGAAUAAUUAAUGUAACAUAUCCAUUUUCAGCUUCCACACAUAAAUGCCUCAUAGAACGAGCUCUUAAAUAUGACUGCAUUUCCUGUGAAGUCACUUGGAUUAAAAAAGGUGCCAUAAGCAAAGCAUGAGUUUAACUGCUGAAUCCAUUCUAAAAGAAUGGAGUUGGAUUGGUUAGAGUAACAAGGUGCAUAGAAAUGGCCAGUGUGAAUUUUUGAGGAAGAAGUCAAGUCAAACCAGUAUAAUUAUUUUUUUCCUUUUCAGUGUGAGAACAGACUUGGUCAACAGUGAGGAAAGCUAUAGAUUGAUGCGUUAGAAAUCACUACUUUUUUGACACUCUGACUUUAUUGAUUCAUGACUCACUUUCCAGCUAUACCAGGAGAGGUUAGUAGUGGUCUGUACAGGACAAGAAAGUGGUCAAUAUCUCCUUUAAUGAUUCUCAUUAUGGAAUAAAGAGUCUCCUUAUAAAAUCCAAAGGAAAUGUUUGCAAGUACUUUGGUGGACAGGAUUGGAAUUCACAAUGUUCUUGAUAGACUGGAGAAACAGACUGAAAUCAAUAAGAUAAAAUUCAAUGAGGACUAAAGCAUGAAGCACUACAUGCCAGAAAGUAGAAUCAAAUCUCUUCCAAAUAAAAUUACUUCAGUGCAGAACGAAAGAGGAUUUUAGAUACAUAUUGAAUCAUAAAAUAAGGUAGUAGGCACAUCCCAAGGACUGUGUGCUUGUUUUGCAUUAAUCCAUGUAUCUUCCUUCUGCAUCUUAUGAUGAACAGUCAUUCUGAUCAAGGAAGUUCCAAGAAAAGGCAAAGUGCAUUUGUCUAAAUGCUUUGCUAACAGAUCUGUAACUACAAGGAUUGACAUGCCUCAGUUUGACCAGGGCAGCUGAGAUCCACCUGAGCUUGAUGUGUAAUUUAAGUAAAGAUAGUUGUAAUGAGUAUGCCACAGCCAAAUACCUAUGGUUUAUGCAUGAAGUGGGCAACUUUGAUGAGUAUCUGGCCAAUAAUGUGCUCUGUAUACGAAGAUGACAUUCAGAGGAAUGGAGGCCUACAAUUUCAUCAGAUUUAAACACGUAUUAUAUCAAGCCAUGUUUCAAUCUACUGAUAGUUUCAUAAACUUCACAAAAAAGUUGUGCCAUUAUCUGAAACAUGCAGUAGAGUAUGUAUUUUGGAAGGCUGCUUAGAAGCUCGUUGUGAUGCAUUCUCUGUAUGCACACCAGCUUACCCUAAAGAGUAUCACCAAGAGGAUAGAACAAGAAGACAAUUCCAUAAAUAAUAUCCAGUGACGUUUAACUGAAAUCUAGUAAAUGCAAUUAAGGUUACCCUUACAACAGGCUUCCUUCCUACCUCUAAUGUCUUUUUAUUUUAUUUUCCUUGGCAGUGUUUCUCAUUAGCAUCUUGCUAGAAAUGUGGAUCAUUGCAUUUUUUUAAAGUUGUAAAUUGUGCUCACUGUUAAAAAAUGAUACAGUUAUGUAAUUCAUGAAAUACAAAUACUUAGUAAAAAAGAUAUUGUUAUCAAAAUUUGGAUGAAACCAAAGCCUUCAGGAUUUUUUGACCAAUUUGAGAAAAUGAGAAUGAUUACAGUGGAAUGUCGUACAGCCGGGUUCAGUACUUUUAUUCAUCUGCUGGUUAUGUACAUGCAAGUCUCAUUUUGGCUAAUGAUAUGAAUCUUUUCUGUUUUACAGGAUUUCCUUUGUUUGAUUGUUCUGGUUUUUUUUUUGUUGUUGUUUGUUUGUUUGUUUUUUCAUCGUUGUACCUUAUUUUGUUUUCAUUGUGUAUCUGGUGCAAAGCAGGAUAGCUGCCAUAAAAGGAAUAAAAUAUAAAAUCUACCUGAA
Numida meleagris (helmeted guineafowl) is the source of this 2701-nucleotide long non-coding RNA. RefSeq lists it as uncharacterized. NCBI's taxonomy places the organism in Eukaryota, Metazoa, Chordata, Aves, Galliformes, Numididae. The record is from RefSeq and is a predicted model, not a curated record. The transcript has 6 exons.